GAUGCUCUGAGACACUUCUUUUCAUAGGAGGCUUUCUGGAAAGCUGGAGAUGCUCAGACGACCGGAGACGUCCCAGCUGUGCUCUGCCGAGCAGUGCGUCCAGCUGCAGCCUCCGGGCGUCCCGCGCUGGUCCUCCCGGCCCUCACCCCACUGUCCUCGGGCUCGUCUGUGCAGCCUAGUCACUGUUUAAGUCCACUUCCUCGCUUUUUGUGGCUUAUCCACCUCAGACUCUGGUCUAUCCUUCUAGACAAACUCCUCCGAGAUGCCGGACAGCCGGCCUCCGAGGUUGCCCUACUUGAACCCAGUCUCCAGAUUGCUUUCAGAUCUGUCCAUUAGACAGCUGGCCUUUGACUGUGCUCGCGAAGCCUCAAGAGCUCCUCGAUGUCUUUUAGGGGCAACCUCCAGGUUAAACCCACUCGCGUCUACGAUCUAUUCUGUGAUCGCCCGCGCCGCCCCCUCCAGCGGCAGAGUAACUGCAAAGCUGAGGGACAAAGGCCAAGGAGGGACCGGAGACCGGGGUGGGCGCGUCACACUCCAGCGAGGAUGUGGGCCACACCGACAGCUGAGCCUGGUCUCUCCUGACGUGAGACCCAGAGGGAGCACAGGCAUCGAGCGUUUGCUCCCGGUGCCAGAUAGAUGGUUCCCCCUGGUAGACCAGAUGAUCACUUGGCCCUUUCUGGGGCCCUGGUCUGAGUCCGGAACAGAGAGCCUGUGGAGUCCAAGUGCAGGCCCCAGGGUGCACCAGGACUGGGCAGAGACAAGAACCCCACCACCGAGGUCUCUGCAGCCUGGGUGGCCCGUCGCCGCGUCGCACUGGCAGGCCCACACCUGUCCUUUCCGAGGCUCCGGUUCUCGGUCUCUGUGGACGUGCACCCCAGGGUCUGGAGUUCGGAGGACUCGGGAGUGGCCCCUCUCUGGAGCAGAGAGGCAGCUGGGCAGCCGCGGGCCGAGCAGACCCAGCCCCCCACUCGCAGGCCUGUGCCCGAGGCUGCGGUCCCGCAUCUCAGCUGGACGGGGGCCGCGGCGCCAGCAUGCAGCUGAUUCCAGCUGCCCUUCAGCAUCCUCCCAGCCCAGGCGGGUGCACCACGAGCACUCCAAGAGGGGCAAGCAGAAGCUUGAGCCCCGUGAACCCACCUGGCCCAGAGGUCAUAGAGAGUCACUUGUGUAGGAUACACGACUCCGGAAACAAGAGCAAACCUAUGAGUCCGGGUUCUCCAGAGAAGACAAUUCAUGUAAA
This 1237-nucleotide long non-coding RNA is filed under the name Canis lupus dingo (dingo). RNAcentral describes it as "lncRNA (ENSCAFG00020026055.1)". Lineage: Eukaryota; Metazoa; Chordata; Mammalia; Carnivora; Canidae. The record is from RNAcentral.